UACUCCUACGGGAGGCAGCAGUGGGGAAUAUUGCACAAUGGGCGCAAGCCUGAUGCAGCCAUGCCGCGUGUAUGAAGAAGGCCUUCGGGUUGUAAAGUACUUUCAGCGGGGAGGAAGGUGUUGAGGUUAAUAACCUCAGCAAUUGACGUUACCCGCAGAGAGACCAUGCCCCGGCUAACUCCGUGCCAGCAGCCGCGGUAAUAA
This 204-nucleotide ribosomal RNA is filed under the name uncultured Enterobacter sp. RNAcentral's name for it is "partial 16S ribosomal RNA". It matches the Rfam family "Bacterial small subunit ribosomal RNA", at positions 334 to 526 of the family's 1533-position model. Lineage: Bacteria; Pseudomonadati; Pseudomonadota; Gammaproteobacteria; Enterobacterales; Enterobacteriaceae. The record is from RNAcentral.